This 641-nucleotide ribosomal RNA is filed under the name uncultured bacterium. RNAcentral describes it as "bacterial SSU rRNA". It matches the Rfam family "Bacterial small subunit ribosomal RNA", at positions 8 to 649 of the family's 1533-position model. The record is from RNAcentral.
AGAGUUUGAUCAUGGCUCAGGAUGAACGCUAGCGGGAGGCCUAACACAUGCAAGCCGAGCGGUAGAUUACUUUCGGGUAAUUGAGAGCGGCGUACGGGUGCGGAACACGUGUGCAACCUGCCUUUAUCAGGGGGAUAGCCUUUCGAAAGGAGGAUUAAUACCUCAUAAUAUAUUAUUCGGCAUCGGGUGAUAUUGAAAACUACGGUGGAUAGAGAUGGGCACGCGCAAGAUUAGCUAGUUGGUGAGGUAACGGCUCACCAAGGCGACGAUCUUUAGGGGGCCUGAGAGGGUGAUCCCCCACACUGGUACUGAGACACGGACCAGACUCCUACGGGAGGCAGCAGUGAGGAAUAUUGGACAAUGGGUGGAAGCCUGAUCCAGCCAUCCCGCGUGCAGGAAGACGGCCCUAUGGGUUGUAAACUGCUUUUAUCUGGGGAUAAACCUACUUACGUGUAAGUAGCUGAAGGUACCAGAAGAAUAAGCACCGGCUAACUCCGUGCCAGCAGCCGCGGUAAUACGGAGGGUGCAAGCGUUAUCCGGAUUUAUUGGGUUUAAAGGGUCCGUAGGCGGACUGAUAAGUCAGUGGUGAAAUCCGACAGCUUAACUGUCGAACUGCCAUUGAUACUGUUAGUCUUGAGUAA